This 460-nucleotide ribosomal RNA is filed under the name uncultured bacterium. Its description in RNAcentral is "partial 16S ribosomal RNA". It matches the Rfam family "Bacterial small subunit ribosomal RNA", at positions 338 to 795 of the family's 1533-position model. The record is from RNAcentral.
CCUACGGGAGGCAGCAGUGAGGAAUAUUGGUCAAUGGACGCAAGUCUGAACCAGCCAAGCCGCGUGCAGGAAGACGGCUCUAUGAGUUGUAAACUGCUUUUGUACGAGGGUAAACGCAGAUACGCGUAUCUGUCUGAAAGUAUCGUACGAAUAAGGAUCGGCUAACUCCGUGCCAGCAGCCGCUGUAAUACGGAGGAUUCAAGCGUUAUCCGGAUUUAUUGGGUUUAAAGGGUGCGUAGGGGGUCGGAUAAGUUAGAGGUGAAAUCCCGAGGCUCAACUUCGGAAUUGCCUCUGAUACUGUUCGGCGAGAGAGUAGUUGCGGUAGGCGGAAUGUAUGGUGUAGCGGUGAAAUGCUUAGAGAUCAUACAGAACACCGAUUGCGAAGGCAGCUUACCAAGCUACUUCUGACGUUGAGGCACGAAAGCGUGGGGAGCAAACAGGAUUAGAUACCCCGGUAGUC